UGAUCAUGGCUCAGGACGAACGCUGGCGGCGUGCCUAAUACAUGCAAGUCGAGCGGACCAUCAGGAGUGCUUGCACUCCUGACGGUCAGCGGCGGACGGGUGAGUAACACGUAGGUAACCUGCCCGUAAGGCCGGGAUAACAUCCGGAAACGGAUGCUAAUACCGGAUACGCAAUUCCUUCGCAUGGGGGGAUUGGGAAAGGCGGUUCCGAUUGAAUUCGGGCUGCCGCUUACGGAUGGACCUGCGGCGCAUUAGCUGGUUGGUGAGGUAACGGCUCACCAAGGCGACGAUGCGUAGCCGACCUGAGAGGGUGAUCGGCCACACUGGGAUUGAGACACGGCCCAGACUCCUACGGGAGGCAGCAGUAGGGAAUCUUCCGCAAUGGACGAAAGUCUGACGGAGCAACGCCGCGUGAGUGAGGAAGGCCUUCGGGUCGUAAAGCUCUGUUGCCAGGGAAGAACGUGCGAGGGAGUCACUGCCCGCGUAAUGACGGUACCUGAGAAGAAAGCCCCGGCUAACUACGUGCCAGCAGCCGCGGUAAUACGUAGGGGGCAAGCGUUGUCCGGAAUUAUUGGGCGUAAAGCGCGCGCAGGCGGCUUUGUAAGUCUUGUGUUUAAACGCGGGGCUCAACCCCGUGUCGCAUGGGAAACUGCAAGGCUUGAGUGCAGAAGAGGAAAGUGGAAUUCCACGUGUAGCGGUGAAAUGCGUAGAGAUGUGGAGGAACACCAGUGGCGAAGGCGACUUUCUGGGCUGUAACUGACGCUGAGGCGCGAA
Molecule: ribosomal RNA, 774 nt
Filed under: uncultured bacterium
Lineage: Bacteria
Description: bacterial SSU rRNA
Rfam family: Bacterial small subunit ribosomal RNA
Source: RNAcentral